This 1017-nucleotide ribosomal RNA is filed under the name Spirocamallanus daleneae. Its description in RNAcentral is "partial large subunit ribosomal RNA". It matches the Rfam family "Eukaryotic large subunit ribosomal RNA", at positions 123 to 826 of the family's 3401-position model. The record is from RNAcentral. Lineage: Eukaryota; Metazoa; Nematoda; Chromadorea; Rhabditida; Camallanidae.
UAGUUUAUAGCUAGUUGGAAAUGUAGCGUAUAGGUUUGACCUAUUUCGAAAGUUCGUGUACGGCGUUAAACCCAAAGUCUACCUUGAACGGGGCCAGGAUCCAUAGAAGGUGUUAGACCUGUACGGGUUGCGCGCGUAUACGAUCGGUUAAACUCUAGAGUCGGGUUGCCUGAGAUCGCAGCCCAAAUCGGGUGGUAGACUUCAUCUAAGGCUAAAUACGGCCACGAGACCGAUAGCAAACAAGUACCGUGAGGGAAAGUUGCAAAGAACUUUGAAGAGAGAGUUCAAGAGGGCGUGAAACCGCUGAGAUUGAAGCGGAUAGAGUCGACGAAACUUAAUCGGUAUUCAGACGAUACGCUCGAACGGUAGCGUAUACGUGCGUUACACCGACCGUCAAAAGUUUGCGUGUUUCGUCUCACGUAUACGUUUCGCUUACUGUUUGGCGCAACUAUCGAUGCAAUUACUGAUUGUAUGCGUUGAGAGUCUCGUAGAGAGUUAGCGCACGACGACGCUCGAUAUUUAGAGGCCUCUUGUGUGCGCUUAAGCGUUCACGAGUGGAUACCUGAUAUGAGCGAUAUACGGCGUGUCGCCUAUGAGAUUUGCGAUUAACGCGCGCAACUACACUUGUGUGUGACGCGCUUCUCGUUUGCUUGUUGGCGAGUCGGCUCGCGUGUUUCGUUUCGUCGCCUUAUGGCGCGGAACGUCACGCUUGUUACGAUUCGCGAGCGACGUGUUUAAGCGCUUUGUUGAGUUGUGUGUCUCGACGUGAACGUCGAUCACCUAUCCGACCCGUCUUGAAACACGGACCAAGGAGUCUAGCGUAUACGCGAGUCAUUAGGUGUGCGAAUGCCUAAAGGCGUAAUGAAAGUGAAUGUCGCGAUCGGCGCGAUUGUUAUGCGAUUUGCGAUGCGUUUUCUUGGCUUCACAUUCUUAACUAGUCGCAAAGCAGCAUAGUCCCGUCUACGUUACAUGUAAUGAGGCGGAGAAUGAGCGUAUGCGCUGGGACCCGAAAGAUGG